ACUCCGUAUCAAAAAAGAAAAAUUAGCCAGAUGUGGUGGUGGGUGCCUGUAAUCCCAGUUACUCAGGAGGCUGAGGCAGAAGAAUCUUUUGAACCUGGGAGGCGGAGGUUGCUUUGAGCUGAGAUUGUGCCUUUGCACUCCAGUAUGGGUGACAGAGCGAGACUCCAUCUCAAAAAAACAAAAAAAAAAAGAAUUUAUACAUUGCCAUACAGAUUCACAGACAUACACUCAUAUUCACAAACACACAAAUACGAUAAACGCAGGGGCACACACAAACACCAUCACAAAAACACACUUCCAUAAAACACAGGAAUGCACGCUCACACAGAAACACGCAUGGAAACACACGUUAUCUUACAGAUUCACAGACACACUCAUCAUCACAUAAACAGGCACACACACACACAGCCACACAAGCACACACCCACACCCACAUCAACACACACACUCCCACACGGCACCCACGCGCUCACGCACAUAGGUAGAACAGGCCUGCAUUACCUGAUAACGCAGUUAGAUCAGACGUGAUGCUGCCUGCCGAGGAGACCUGGAGGCUUCCCAUGAAUGGGCUUUCGGAUGAGAGGUCUCUGGGUGCAUUUGGUGACACCCCAGGCAGUGGGGGAGACGUCCAGGCUGGAAGGCCAGCCACAGCCAGCUCUGCCCAAGGAUGCCACGUCCAUUUGCUUCAGUAGGAUAUGCACCCUGGAAACCCAGGUUCCUGCCUCUCCAGGAAACCCCACUGAGGUCAGCACACUCCCCAGGUUUAGAAGGGGUCUCUCGGUGAAAUGUGGUGACACCCCAGGCAGAAGGGGGGACGCCACAGCCAGCUCUGCCCACGGAUGUCACGUCCAUUUGCUUCAGUAGGAUCUGCACCUUGGAAACCCAGGUUCCUGCCUCUCCAGGACACCCCACUGACGUUAACACACCCUCCAGGUUUACAAGCGGUCUCUGGGUACAUUUGGUGACACCGCAGGCAGAGGGGGGACGCCACAGCCAGCUCUGCCCGCGGAUGCCACGUCCAUUUGCUUCAGUAGGAUCUGCACCCUGUAAACCCUGGUUCCUCCCUCUCUAGGACACCCCACUGAGGUCAGCACCCCCCACCCCCCACCCCCAGGUUUGUCCAGCUUCGCUGUCUGGGGAGAGACACAGAAAGACCACAUUCGGUGGAAUUCUGGCUAUAACCUUUUGUAGCCGGCAAGAAGGAUCACCAAGCUGUCCCGUUACCUUGCUGGAGCGAUCACUGGUUUCACGCUUGGCCCCCGUGCAGUUAGUGCCUGGGCCAGGCUCGAUUCCUGGAGCUCCGGUGAAAUUUGGGCUUGGAGCUCACGCCUGCACCAUCCAGAAAGCAGAAGGCAGCCGGCCCGGGCUGUACGGUUCGUAGAAUCAGAGAGAACACUGCUUGCCUUCAUGUCUGUACCACAAUAAAUCUGCCAACUGCGGUCAAAGUCUCUGGAUUCCUGCCCCCUCAUUUUAUUUUGUCUAUUACGGAGUGGAAGGAGUGAGAAAGAUUUUGCUUCCUAUUUUGUUUUGCAAAGCGCUUCUAAGAAAAACAACCCGUGUUCUGAAA
Molecule: long non-coding RNA, 1567 nt
Filed under: Homo sapiens (human)
Lineage: Eukaryota; Metazoa; Chordata; Mammalia; Primates; Hominidae
Description: HSALNT0275700
Source: RNAcentral